UGGGGGAUAUUGCACAAUGGGCGCAAGCCUGAUGCAGCGACGCCGCGUGUGGGAAGACGGCCCUCGGGUUGUAAACCACUGGCUUUGGGGACGAUAAUGACGGUACCCAAGGAGGAAGCUCCGGCUAACUACGUGCCAGCAGCCGCGGUAAUACGUAGGGAGCGAGCGUUGUCCGGAAUUACUGGGUGUAAAGGGAGCGUAGGCGGGAGUGCAAGUUGAAUGUUUAAUCUAUGGGCUCAACCCAUAUCAGCGUUCAAAACUGCAUUUCUUGAGUGAAGUAGAGGUUGGCGGAAUUCCUAGUGUAGCGGUGAAAUGCGUAGAUAUUAGGAGGAACACCAGUGGCGAAGGCGGCCAACUGGGCUUUUACUGACGCUGAGGCUCGAAAGCGUGGGGAGCAAACAGGAUUAGAUACCCUGGUAGU
Molecule: ribosomal RNA, 421 nt
Filed under: uncultured Oscillospiraceae bacterium
Lineage: Bacteria; Bacillati; Bacillota; Clostridia; Eubacteriales; Oscillospiraceae
Description: bacterial SSU rRNA
Rfam family: Bacterial small subunit ribosomal RNA
Source: RNAcentral